GUGCCAGCAGCCGCGGUAAUACCGGCAGCACGAGUGAUGGCCGAUAUUAUUGGGCCUAAAGCGUCCGUAGCUGGCCGGACAAGUCCGUUGGGAAAUCCACCCGCUUAACGGGUGGGCGUCCAGCGGAAACUGUCCGGCUUGGAGCCGGAAGAUCCGAGGGGUACGUCCGGGGUAGGAGUGAAAUCCCGUAAUCCUGGACGGACCGCCGAUGGCGAAAGCACGUCGCGAAGACGGAUCCGACAGUGAGGGACGAAAGCUAGGGUCUCGAACCGGAUUAGAUACCCUGGUAGUCC
RNAcentral lists this ribosomal RNA (293 nucleotides) under uncultured bacterium. RNAcentral describes it as "partial 16S ribosomal RNA". It matches the Rfam family "Archaeal small subunit ribosomal RNA", at positions 455 to 747 of the family's 1478-position model. The record is from RNAcentral.